CCAAAGGAUCGUAGCACUCUCAUUCUCCGCUCAAACAUCAGAGGUCCCAAACUCCCCCACAGAACCCCUGACAGAAGAAUAAUUUUAGAAGAGAGCGGUGUGUAUCUCCAUCUAGAAAGUUUAUGAACUAUGUCCCACUGAAUGUUGCCUGAGCACAAGUGCUAAUGGAGAUCAAAGAUCGGAUCUCCAAGGUAGAAUGACAACAAAUACUGCCUGUACCACUAUGGCCAUAGACAUGACAUCUAAGAUUGCAUCUAGCUUCGGGAUGAGAUAGAAGAGCUCAUUCGAUGUGGGCACCU
RNAcentral lists this long non-coding RNA (299 nucleotides) under Elaeis guineensis (African oil palm). RNAcentral describes it as "long non-coding RNA (EGUI_LNC024594)". The record is from RNAcentral. Lineage: Eukaryota; Viridiplantae; Streptophyta; Magnoliopsida; Arecales; Arecaceae.